Molecule: microRNA precursor, 142 nt
Filed under: Ananas comosus (pineapple)
Lineage: Eukaryota; Viridiplantae; Streptophyta; Magnoliopsida; Poales; Bromeliaceae
Description: mir-172 microRNA precursor family
Rfam family: mir-172 microRNA precursor family
About the family: mir-172 has been experimentally verified in Arabidopsis thaliana. This family is thought to target mRNAs coding for APETALA2-like transcription factors.
Source: Rfam by way of RNAcentral
UUGUUUUCUGGCGUGGCAUCAUCAAGAUUCACAGGCUCUUAUUGGUACGGCUCCCCUCCUUUGUCUGAGGGUUUUAGUACUCAGAUGAGCGGUGAGAAAGAGAGAAAGAUGAGAAUCUUGAUGAUGCUGCAUCAGCAAUAAA